Long non-coding RNA from Acanthochromis polyacanthus (spiny chromis), 1370 nucleotides. RefSeq lists it as uncharacterized. NCBI's taxonomy places the organism in Eukaryota, Metazoa, Chordata, Actinopteri, Pomacentridae. The record is from RefSeq and is a predicted model, not a curated record. The transcript is spliced from 2 exons.
GAUUAUGUGCAUAAUGAUUAGUAGCUGGGAUGUGGACAGACGCGAUCAUGAUGUAACCGGUGUGUGUGAGGGCUUGUUGGCAGGCGGCUCGGUGUGGGAGGUGGGUAUGUCAACGCUGCCUGCCUGUGGCUGCUCAUCACUGGGAUAGAUACAGGAAGCACUUUGAGGGAGGAUGAUGAGGGCCAACAGUAGCAGCAGAGCAGGCAGCAGUGUGUUUGUAUGUGUAGGUAGUAUACUGCAUUGUAUUAUUAGCUAAUGCUGGGCAGCUGGGGUUUGAAGUGCCUCACUGUAACUGUACCUAUAGCAGCAGUUGUGCUCCUCUGGUAUAAAUAGUGUGCUGGGCAUGUGGGCAGGCAGCUAUGACACAAUGGCAGAAUUUCGGUGUUCUUCCAGGGAGGUUUGAGAAUGUGACACCCUGCAGACGAGGACCCCCCUAGAUGCUGCGCCGAGGCUUGAAGGUUACCUCAAGCCCAUGAUUCCUGCCUCUCCUUCUCCGGCCUCCUCACUUUGCUGCCACGUGUCCUGAAAAACUACGCCUGGCAAUAAAUCAAAGCCAGGCACUCCUUUAAGUAAGUGCGUCCCUGAGAACAUGAAGUGAGGACACACUCCAGGCUCUCAUGUUCCUCUGUUAUGUCACCAAAUCUCUGAUCGAGCCCCCGAUGACCCUCCUCUCUGGUCCAAGGAGAAACUGAAAACUGAUAAAGAGCCACUUCCUCCUCAGAAGAUCGGCUCGGGCUUUGCAGUGAAGCUGAGCCAAAGCAGCCAAGUCAAACACAAAACGAUAUAUACAGACUUUGGACUCUGCCACCAGGAUGUGUGUUGUGGUUUUGUUUGCAGAGGCCUGUCCAGUCAGGAACAAGAUUGAUGGCAUCAGUUAAUAGCUCAGAAGCAGCUACAGCACUGCUUGUGUUACACCGUCAGAUCUCUUGGACGUAUGAUUGAUCUCAUCUGGGUUGGGUGUAAUUUCAAACUAUAUCACAUGGAAACUACUAAUGUCAAGUUUGUGUCAGAAUGUCCAUUAAUUCUCUCAGAUAAUUACACCAAUGUCUCUCACCUCUUCAGUCACAGAGCCUUUGGAUGACUCCGUCUGCUUCAGCUCAUGGUGUGCAGACAAGUGCUGUUCACACUCACAGUCUCAUUCUUAAUUGUAGUCCAGAUGCCAAGAUUUCCAAAGUAAUAGAUCUGUAGCUGCUGCUGAGAUUAUCUCUUUUUGUGACAUUGUUGGUUUUAGCUACUGUAGAUAUCAUUUUACAAUGAAAGAACUGAGACGUCUUGGAUGUUCUUACAAUCUUAUUGCACUUAUUUGAAAUGCAAGUUAUAUGUUCUAACAUUUAAACUAGCAAAUAAAAAAAUAAAGGCAUCAGAAUUUC